UCCUGAAUAUCAGUUUGUGCACAUCAUUCCUUGUCCUGUUACUGAGCACCACUGAGAAAAUCCUGCCUCCAUUGUCUUCACUCCUCCUUCAGAGCUGCUUUCCAGACAGUGAGCCCCCAGCAAGCACUGAUGCCUGAGGUUACUCAUCCCCAGAAGUGAGGUCGGACAUUUUCCUUUGCUAAACAUCAGCCACUUGCUGGCAGCCCGUUUCUCCAGCCUUUUGAGGUCCUUCUGAAUGGCAGAACAACCAUAUGCUGUCUGUAACCAAGCUGUGACAACUAGAUGCAUGCUCUCUGCAAAGUACUUAGGAUUGGACUGAAUUGGCACCUUACAUAUGGUAUGGACAGUAUCAUCAUCCUCUUUUGGGAUUGGAGAAAUGGUCCUUUCACCACCUGGCAGAAUUUCUCCCUGCCAUUAUGCAUCACCAAGGAGAUGAAAAAGUCUGGAUUGUGAGGAAACUAAGAGCAAAAGCAAGAGACAUUUCCUUCCCUUAUCUCGAGGGCUGCUUCCAGAUUACGCAGCUGCAGAGUUCAGUGGUUGUAUUUGCACGUGACGAUCAGCCUCGAUUGUGCUCAGUUUAGGUCAAACUCAAAACUCUGGAAAAGUCUUCCUGAAGUAUUAGAACCUGUAAGAAUAGUGAAUUACUACAUUGAAUUUAAAAUGAAAUUAUUAUGUUCUUUUGAAAACUAAAUUAAUAUAUUCCUUGACAUCUACCUACUGUGUAUUGUGGAAAUAGAGUAAUGCAGCACUAAAACUCAUAAUCCACAUUCAAAGAAACUAAAGUGGGUUUAGGUUUUUUUUUCCUAAACUGCCUGUUGAAUUUUCAAUUAUACAUUAUACAGCGGUAAAGUGGAAUAAUUAUACAUUAUACAGAAGUAAAGUGGAAUUAUUGAUACACCUUUGUAAUUGUAUAGAAAAAUGUCCAUUUAAGAUGUUAUAAUUUCUUUCUUCUGCACACAAUUUUCAUGACUUUCUGUGCUUUCUACACUGUUUAAUAUGUUUCUCCACUGUCCCAUUAGGUGGGAUAUGCCACAAGAUGUGUGUGUCCAUUUGUAGUCCAGCAGGCAAAUUACAAGUCUGGUCUUGUAUACGAGUUGCUUGUAUCACAAUCAAAAGCUGAUCAAGAAUUGGUUUUCAUUCUUAUUAACUUGCAAGCUAUUUUGGAUUGACAAUGGCUACACUGCUGAAUAUUCUUUGGUUUGGAGUUAUGUCCAGCUAACUAUUUUUAAAAGGGUCCUAAAAGGACUCUCACUGGAAACAUUUCUAGAAGACAUUACAUAUUUUUCACUUGGCCAGAUCAGAGCACAUUUUUAUAUCAAUGAAGUCUGUUCAAAAGGCACAAUGCCAUAAUGAUAAUUCACUACAAACAAAAUAAACAAGAUGUAAGAUUGGAGAUCAAAUAUUGGCAGCUAAGUGGCAAGUUUGCAAAGGAUGAGUGAGCUUUCCCUGGGCUCUUCUAUUUUUCAGUAUGCCAAAACAAACAGACGGAUACACAUAAACUGCAUGCAAGGGGUCCUUCUCGUUUUUAUUUUUAUUAUUAAAUGUUUUAAAAUACAUAUGAGGUUAGUAAGUCAAGUAUGGUGGCUCCAUGUAUAAAAGUAAAAUAUGAGUGGAUGUGUUAUUAGAUAAUAUGCAUUAAAUUAGAAAUAGACUGCUCAUCUGUGGUUUAAGCGAUAAAUAAUAUUGACAAAAUAUGGAAAAUCCUUAA
This is a non-coding RNA of Zonotrichia albicollis (white-throated sparrow), 1708 nucleotides long. The record is from RefSeq and is a predicted model, not a curated record. NCBI's taxonomy places the organism in Eukaryota, Metazoa, Chordata, Aves, Passeriformes, Passerellidae.